UUUGGGAAAUGAUGAAAAAGAUAAAAACUGGUAAAGCAGAAGCUCCAAUGGGUGUGCUAUGCUGAAUGAGUUUGCACGUCAGUCUGAUCCCAAA
This is a small nucleolar RNA of Telopea speciosissima, 94 nucleotides long. RefSeq annotates it as small nucleolar RNA Z122. The record is from RefSeq and is a predicted model, not a curated record. The transcript has a single exon. NCBI's taxonomy places the organism in Eukaryota, Viridiplantae, Streptophyta, Magnoliopsida, Proteales, Proteaceae.